GGUUAAGCGACUAAGCGUACACGGUGGAUGCCCUGGCAGUCAGAGGCGAUGAAGGACGUGCUAAUCUGCGAAAAGCGUCGGUAAGGUGAUAUGAACCGUUACAGCCGGCGAUGUCCGAAUGGGGAAACCCAGUGCAAUUCGUUGCACUAUCGUUAACUGAAUACAUAGGUUAACGAGGCGAACCGGGGGAACUGAAACAUCUAAGUACCCCGAGGAAAAGAAAUCAACCGAGAUUCCCCCAGUAGCGGCGAGCGAACGGGGAGCAGCCCGGAGUCUGAAUCAGCUUGUGUGUUAGUGGAAGCGUCUGGAAAGUCGCAGGGUACAGGGUGAUACUCCCGUACACUAAAACACACAGGUUGUGAACUCGAAGAGUAGGGCGGGACACGUGGUAUCCUGUCUGAAUAUGGGGGGACCAUCCUCCAAGGCUAAAUACUCCUGACUGACCGAUAGUGAACCAGUACCGUGAGGGAAAGGCGAAAAGAACCCCGGCGAGGGGAGUGAAAAAGAACCUGAAACCGUGUACGUACAAGCAGUAGGAGCCCACUAGUUGGGUGACUGCGUACCUUUUGUAUAAUGGGUCAGCGACUUAUAUUCUGUAGCAAGGUUAACCGUAUAGGGGAGCCGCAGGGAAACCGAGUCUUAACUGGGCGUUAAGUUGCAGGGUAUAGACCCGAAACCCGGUGAUCUAGCCAUGGGCAGGUUGAAGGUUGGGUAACACUAACUGGAGGACCGAACCGACUAAUGUUGAAAAAUUAGCGGAUGACUUGUGGCUGGGGGUGAAAGGCCAAUCAAACCGGGAGAUAGCUGGUUCUCCCCGAAAGCUAUUUAGGUAGCGCCUCGUGAACUCAUCUUCGGGGGUAGAGCACUGUUUCGGCUAGGGGGUCAUCCCGACUUACCAACCCGAUGCAAACUACGAAUACCGAAGAAUGUUAUCACGGGAGACACACGGCGGGUGCUAACGUCCGUCGUGAAGAGGGAAACAACCCAGACCGCCAGCUAAGGUCCCAAAGUCAUGGUUAAGUGGGAAACGAUGUGGGAAGGCCCAGACAGCCAGGAUGUUGGCUUAGAAGCAGCCAUCAUUUAAAGAAAGCGUAAUAGCUCACUGGUCGAGUCGGCCUGCGCGGAAGAUGUAACGGGGCUAAACCAUGCACCGAAGCUGCGGCAGCGACACUAUGUGUUGUUGGGUAGGGGAGCGUUCUGUAAGCCGUUGAAGGUGGCCUGUGAGGGUUGCUGGAGGUAUCAGAAGUGCGAAUGCUGACAUAAGUAACGAUAAUGCGGGUGAAAAACCCGCACGCCGGAAGACCAAGGGUUCCUGUCCAACGUUAAUCGGGGCAGGGUGAGUCGACCCCUAAGGCGAGGCCGAAAGGCGUAGUCGAUGGGAAACAGGUUAAUAUUCCUGUACUCGGUGUUACUGCGAAGGGGGGACGGAGAAGGCUAUGUUGGCCGGGCGACGGUUGUCCCGGUUUAAGCAUGUAGGCGGAUGUUCCAGGUAAAUCCGGAACGUCACUAACGCUGAGGUGUGAUGACGAGGCACUACGGUGCUGAAGUGACAAAUGCCCUGCUUCCAGGAAAAGCCUCUAAGCAUCAGGUAACAUCAAAUCGUACCCCAAACCGACACAGGUGGUCAGGUAGAGAAUACCAAGGCGCUUGAGAGAACUCGGGUGAAGGAACUAGGCAAAAUGGUGCCGUAACUUCGGGAGAAGGCACGCUGAUGGUAAGUGAAGCGACUUGCUCGUGGAGCUGAAAUCAGUCGAAGAUACCAGCUGGCUGCAACUGUUUAUUAAAAACACAGCACUGUGCAAACACGAAAGUGGACGUAUACGGUGUGACGCCUGCCCGGUGCCGGAAGGUUAAUUGAUGGGGUUAUCCGUAAGGAGAAGCUCUUGAUCGAAGCCCCGGUAAACGGCGGCCGUAACUAUAACGGUCCUAAGGUAGCGAAAUUCCUUGUCGGGUAAGUUCCGACCUGCACGAAUGGCGUAAUGAUGGCCAGGCUGUCUCCACCCGAGACUCAGUGAAAUUGAACUCGCUGUGAAGAUGCAGUGUACCCGCGGCAAGACAGAAAGACCCCGUGAACCUUUACUAUAGCUUGACACUGAACACUGGUCCUUGAUGUGUAGGAUAGGUGGGAGGCUUUGAAGUGUGGACGCCAGUCUGCAUGGAGCCAUCCUUGAAAUACCACCCUUUAAUGGCUGGUGUUCUAACGUGGGCCCCUGAUCGGGGUUGCGGACAGUGUCUGGUGGGUAGUUUGACUGGGGCGGUCUCCUCCUAAAGAGUAACGGAGGAGCACGAAGGUCAGCUAAUCCUGGUCGGACAUCAGGAGGUUAGUGCAAUGGCAUAAGCUGGCUUGACUGCGAGCGUGACGGCGCGAGCAGGUGCGAAAGCAGGUCAUAGUGAUCCGGUGGUUCUGAAUGGAAGGGCCAUCGCUCAACGGAUAAAAGGUACUCCGGGGAUAACAGGCUGAUACCGCCCAAGAGUUCAUAUCGACGGCGGUGUUUGGCACCUCGAUGUCGGCUCAUCACAUCCUGGGGCUGAAGUAGGUCCCAAGGGUAUGGCUGUUCGCCAUUUAAAGUGGUACGCGAGCUGGGUUUAGAACGUCGUGAGACAGUUCGGUCCCUAUCUGCCGUGGGCGCUGGAGAAUUGAGGGGGGCUGCUCCUAGUACGAGAGGACCGGAGUGGACGCAUCACUGGUGUUCGGGUUGUCAUGCCAAUGGCAUUGCCCGGUAGCUAAAUGCGGAAGAGAUAAGUGCUGAAAGCAUCUAAGCACGAAACUUGCCCCGAGAUGAGUUCUCCCUGACCCUUUAAGGGUCCUGAAGGAACGUUGAAGACGACGACGUUGAUAGGCCGGGUGUGUAAGCGCAGCGAUGCGUUGAGCUAACCGGUACUAAUGAACCGUGAGGCUUAACCUU
This 2906-nucleotide ribosomal RNA is filed under the name Klebsiella michiganensis. RNAcentral describes it as "23S ribosomal RNA". It matches the Rfam family "Bacterial large subunit ribosomal RNA". Lineage: Bacteria; Pseudomonadati; Pseudomonadota; Gammaproteobacteria; Enterobacterales; Enterobacteriaceae. The record is from RNAcentral.